AAUAAAAAAGGCUAAAUUACAGAAAAUUACAAGAACUAGGAUCUUUUUUUACUUUUCCUCCAUAACUUUUAAAAAUCUAUAUUUUAUCCCCACAACGUUUCAAAUUGUUGUAUUUCGCCCCCCCUUUCCGUCAGGGUUCCAUCACUGUUCCGCUCAUUUUUUAUAAUUUAUAUCCAAGAUAUCUUUUAAAAUGACAGAAAUAUAUUAAAAAAUUAUUAUUUUUAUUAAAAAUAAGAGUAUUUUGAUAAUUUUGUCCUAUCCGUUAACGUCAUACCCCUUCAAAAAUACUUCUGAAAUUUUAAGGGAGCAAAAUAUAGAUUUUUUUAUAGUGAGCAUUUGUUUUAAGAUUCGCCUAACUACGAGAUAUUUAUCUAGAAUACAUGCAAAUUAGGAUGCGCAUCAAAUCAUCUACGUACCUGAAAAAGUGAAAACACCAGUGAUCUAUGACAAAAACUUGUAAAAUACGUAUUACAAUAAAGAUAAUAAUGUUUUGAAAAUUUUUAGAAAAGUUCUAAAAUAACCCUAUCUAUUCGAUCAAUAGGGCUACCAAUAGUUUAUCCUAAGAAUUUUAGUGCCGUGGCGCAGGGUCACGCCGGAAACUUGCCGGCACGGUGCUUGUCGAGCCGUGCCGAUGCGUGCCAGUUAAAAAAAUUCUUGUGUGCCGACACAUAAUAGCAUGAAAUAUUUAUUUUUUUUAUCAACAAAAUAUUCUAACUAUUUAUUAUGUCUUUUUAUCAUAUCUUUUGAACUUUAUUGAGAAAAUUACUUACUAAUUUAAAAAAUAGAAAGUUUUGAGCUGUGCCAUCAGUACGGGAUCUGUAUCGUGUCGAUAUCUUGUUGGCACAGUACGACACGGUGGAUACGAUCCGUGCCGACGAACACUUAAAACCUUGGUUUAUCCCUAAUUCGAAUUUAAUCUCAAUUUUUGAGGACUAGAGUUCGUCUGGAUUAUUACGAUAGCAGAUUAAUAAUGUUUACUAUCUACGUACUUUCUACCCCUUAGAUCAUACACUAUUUCAUCUGCCGCUACAAAUUCCAAGGCA
This 1043-nucleotide long non-coding RNA is filed under the name Ananas comosus (pineapple). Its description in RNAcentral is "long non-coding RNA (ACOM_LNC024620)". The record is from RNAcentral. Lineage: Eukaryota; Viridiplantae; Streptophyta; Magnoliopsida; Poales; Bromeliaceae.